This 1138-nucleotide unclassified non-coding RNA is filed under the name Hevea brasiliensis (rubber tree). The record is from RNAcentral. Lineage: Eukaryota; Viridiplantae; Streptophyta; Magnoliopsida; Malpighiales; Euphorbiaceae.
UGUGAUGCUGCUUGUUCUCUACGCUCGCGCACAAGAAACGGUGGAGGCAGCUGGGAAAGUUUGAAAUGCAGGGGAAUUUGUAUCACCUAACUAAAGCCGAGUUGGAUGACGUUACUACAUUGGAGGUACAUUUUAUGGGUUAUGGUGCCAUUAUUCAUUUAAUGCUUGCAUUGGUAUGAUGUGAAUGUAAUUUUGUCACAACCACAAGCUGGUGAUUUGUUUAUCCCAAUCUACAUGGAUUGUUCCUACAAAGUAAUUUGGAUAAAAUCCUUUACAAGUAAAAGUGUGAAAAAAUCCAAGAAAACAGAAGGGUGGCAUAUCCUUUACUGGACAAACUGCUUCUUUCCUUUACCAAUUGAAAACAAACUAAACCUACAAUGAAAGGGUGCAGCAAUUAAUGACACCAAAAGAUCCCAAUCUACAAAACACAACAGAAAUAGCAAAUAAAUAAAACGGAUCUUAUUUCCAUCCCUCAAUAUUCUACCCACAGAACAUAAACCCAUAUAGUCUUAUUCCCAUCUUGACUCUUUCCAGGUUUCACUUCAUAUCUUCCUCCACCAAUGUGGUAGCAGCCAUCGUCAAAAUUCAGAGCAUAACUUGAAGGAUCAUACUGGAAAUUGACCUGCUGUUUGCCUCCAUUCUUGACAGCCUUCUUCACUGCAGCCUUCACUCUCCAAAACAGGCUCUUGCAUUGCUUCUUGCAGAAACUAUUCUUCCAUUCUAACCUCCCAAUCAAACCCAUAUUCACAAGCAUAAAAGUCUAGAUUCAACCUCAACGCCAACAACCCAAAAACAGAUAUAGCUUGAAGAACUAAGAAGCUGACUAGAAAAUGUCUCUGGCUUCUUAUAAAGGAAGAGAAGCACUGAAGGACGGUAACUUGCAAGAGAAGGAGAUGUAUGAGAAUAAAAACAACCCCUAUAAAACGCCUCAACUUUUGAAGGGUAGGGAAACAAGAAUGGAUGGAGAAAUAAGAAAAAGCAAAUCUUUUGGGCGUUUCAAAGAAGCUGCUGCUACAGGUUCAGCUGCCAGUCUCCACAGCCAUGAGCUUUAUUUAGCAAGACAUUGGAAGGCUCAAAUUCCAUCAUCUAAUACAAGAAAAGGUUGAGAGAGAAGAAGAGAAAGAAAGACAAUAAAAAA